UCCACAGGCAGUGGCCAGAAACCACAAACCUGACCAGAGGCACAAAUGCCCUCUGACCCAAGCCCUGGAGCUGGGUAGAGGGCAAGGAGAGGAACCUCUGAGUGCUGCUGGCCACGCUGCCCAAGCUGCCCAUGCUACAGUGGAACUGGGCAGGCAGCCCCUGGGUGCUGUGACUACAUGAGAGGUGGGGAAGAAGCAGUGGUGCUGCAUCCUGCUGGUUAUGAGCUGGACAUGGCCACGGGGCAGCUGAAGGAGCCACUGGUCAGAGAGCUCUGCAAUACCUGGUGAGAGUUCCAGAACCAGAGCACCUGGCCCCUCUUCCAGGCUGAUAAUGGUGGUGAGUGCACCAGGCUCUGGAGGCUGAGGGCUGCCAGUCUGAGUGUGGCAAUGCCAGCAGCAGGGCUUUUGAGUGUCCUUCCCUCCAUCAGCCAAGGACUCAAGGAGAAAGCAUUCACACUCGUGCGUGUUGUCCUAUUUUCCUUUUCCCUGCCCCAAGCAGAGGUGCGGGUUGCUCUCUUCACUUCUCAAGCUAGGGAUCACCCCCUUCUGGGGGCCCCUCACCACCCAGGGUGUAAUGUGCCUCAUGACCAUCAACAUAUCACUGAAUGGUUUUCUUAUGGAAAAGCUGCAGGAGCCCAAGGAGAAGCAGACAGGCUUUCUUUUAAGGAUUUCAAAAGCCUAAACUGCAGACAUACUGAGCCAGGCUGUAUUAUGCUUCCAAGCUUUGACUAACACAGGGCCCUGUGACUAGAUGUGCCUUUUCUCUUUGAUCACCUAGCUUUAUGAAUAAGGUAGAGUAUACUUUAUUACAUAAUUUUAUUCCUCAUUUAAUCAUCUGUCACUUCAGUAUUACAAAUAAUUUAUCUUUGAUCCUUAUUAUAACUUGUAUAUUCCUCAUACUGCUUAUAGCACUGACAUUUGUUUGCAUAUGCAUUUCUCUGAAUUUCUCCUUAACUUUAUUCCAUUAUUGUCCUCUACUGAAAACUUGAUUGUAUAAUUUCACCCCUAAUUGUUCCCUUUCCUUCACUAAAUUUUAAUACUACCAAUAUGUUCUAGAUCUCUUUAUAUAUUGCAUGCAUAUCUAUGUUAAUACAUAAAAACAGUAAGAUUUUUCAAUCCUGAGACAAAUCAAUUUUGCCCACUUUGGGCAGUACCAUCUCUGUCAAGAAUGUAUGUUCAUAGUCAGCAUUUUAUAGGCAUAUGUUCAAAUAAUAAUACAAUCUUGACUUUUAGAAAUUUAACACAAAAGCUCUGCAUGAGGCCAACAUUAAAAAUAAGUACACUUUUCCAAUUUAUAUUUCAACCUAUUCCUUGGUUUGACUUUUCCCUUUCAUCUAUGUAAGACACUUAUCCUAAUUCAAAUUAUUUCUAUUAAGAAUGGCAGGUGGACAGACUCAAAUGGUUAAGACAAAAAGGUUAAUAUUGACUGAUGAAACAGAUUGGGAAAAAUCUUGACUUCAGACAUAGUUUAAUUCAGAGUCUUAAAAAGCAUCACCACAAUUCAGUUCUUUCAUUCUUUUGGGUCUGCCAUGUUCUCUAACUUUGCCUUACCCCCAAAUUUGUAUUCUGUAGCCCAUGGGUCACAAUUUUGUAAAUUUCUCUUCAGAGUGUAUUUAUUGAAGUCAGAAACCUCCUGCUACAGUGUUAGGAAGGGAAUGCCAAGAAAGGAAGGCCUGAGAAACUUCUCAAAGUGGAUUCUUUUAAGUACAAUUCAAGGGAGGAGCAGAACACAGCUUUGUAAUCUUGAUAUCAAAAAAGAACAAAGCAAGAAAAAUAUAUUAGAUAUGCUGCAGAAUGGUAUUAGAAUAAAAAGAAAUAAAUAGGCCA
Oryctolagus cuniculus (rabbit) is the source of this 1827-nucleotide long non-coding RNA. The record is from Ensembl. NCBI's taxonomy places the organism in Eukaryota, Metazoa, Chordata, Mammalia, Lagomorpha, Leporidae.